AUUGAACGCUGGCGGCAGGCUUAACACAUGCAAGUCGAGCGGUAACAGAGAGAAGCUUGCUUCUCUGCUGACGAGCGGCGGACGGGUGAGGAAUGCCUAGGAAUCUGCCUAGUAGUGGGGGAUAACUUGCCGAAAGGUAAGCUAAUACCGCAUACGUCCUACGGGAGAAAGGAGGGGACCUUCGGGCCUUUCGCUAUUAGAUGAGCCUAGGUCGGAUUAGUUAGUUGGUGAGGUAAUGGCUUACCAAAACCGCGAUCCGUAACUGGUCUGAGAGGAUGGUCAGUCACACUGGAACUGAGACACGGUCCAGACUCCUACGGGAGGCAGCAGUGGGGAAUAUUGGACAAUGGGGGGAACCCUGAUCCAGCCAUGCCGCGUGUGUGAAGAAGGUCUUAGGAUUGUAAAGCACUUUAAGUUGGGAGGAAGAGCAGUUAACUAAUAUUUGACUGUUUUGACGUUACCGACAGAAUAAGCACCGGCUAACUUCGUGCCAGCCGCCGCCGUAA
RNAcentral lists this ribosomal RNA (506 nucleotides) under uncultured bacterium. RNAcentral's name for it is "partial 16S ribosomal RNA". It matches the Rfam family "Bacterial small subunit ribosomal RNA", at positions 30 to 523 of the family's 1533-position model. The record is from RNAcentral.